CGGGGCUAAUACCGGAUAACACAUGAAACCGCAUGGUUUCAUGAUGAAAGACGGUUUUGCUGUCACUUAUAGAUGGACCCGCGGCGUAUUAGCUAGUUGGUAAGGUAACGGCUUACCAAGGCAACGAUACGUAGCCGACCUGAGAGGGUGAUCGGCCACACUGGAACUGAGACACGGCCCAG
Molecule: ribosomal RNA, 182 nt
Filed under: uncultured Staphylococcus sp.
Lineage: Bacteria; Bacillati; Bacillota; Bacilli; Caryophanales; Staphylococcaceae
Description: partial 16S ribosomal RNA
Rfam family: Bacterial small subunit ribosomal RNA
Source: RNAcentral